Molecule: transfer RNA, 73 nt
Filed under: Streptococcus thermophilus
Lineage: Bacteria; Bacillati; Bacillota; Bacilli; Lactobacillales; Streptococcaceae
Also listed under: 2 other names
Description: tRNA-Glu
Rfam family: tRNA
About the family: Transfer RNA (tRNA) molecules are approximately 80 nucleotides in length. Their secondary structure includes four short double-helical elements and three loops (D, anti-codon, and T loops).
Source: RNAcentral
GGUCCGUUGGUCAAGGGGUUAAGACACCGCCUUUUCACGGCGGUAACACGGGUUCGAAUCCCGUACGGACUAU